UUAAGCAUAUCAAUAAGCGGAGGAAAAGAAACCAACAGGGAUUGCCUCAGUAACGGCGAGUGAAGCGGCAACAGCUCAAAUUUGAAAUCUGGCGGCCUCUGGGCCGUCCGAGUUGUAAUUUGAAGAGGAUGCUUUUGGCGAGGCGCCUUCCGAGUGCCCUGGAACGGGACGCCACAGAGGGUGAGAGCCCCGUAUGGUUGGACGCCGAGCCUCUGUAAAGCUCCUUCGACGAGUCGAGUAGUUUGGGAAUGCUGCUCAAAAUGGGAGGUAAACCCCUUCUAAAGCUAAAUACUGGCCAGAGACCGAUAGCGCACAAGUAGAGUGAUCGAAAGAUGAAAAGCACUUUGAAAAGAGAGUUAAACAGCACGUGAAAUUGUUGAAAGGGAAGCGCUUGCGACCAGACUUGUGCUCGUCGAAUCAGCCGCCGCUCGUCGGCGGCGCACUUCGGCGGGCUCAGGCCAGCAUCAGUUCGCUGCAGGGGGAGAAAGGCGAUGGGAAUGUGGCUCUUCGGAGUGUUAUAGCCCGCCGCGCAAUACCCCUCGGCGGACUGAGGACCGCGCAUCUGCAAGGAUGCUGGCGUAAUGGUCGUCAGCGACCCGUCUUGAAACACGGACCAAGGAGUCGUCCUAAUAUGCGAGUGUUCGGGUGUAAAACCCCUGCGCGUAAUGAAAGUGAACGGAGGUGAGAGCUUCGGCGCAUCAUCGACCGAUCCUGAUGUUCUCGGAUGGAUUUGAGUAAGAGCAUAUUGGGCCGGACCCGAAAGAAGGUGAACUAUGCCUGUAUAGGGUAAAGCCAGAGGAAACUCUGGUGGAGGCUCGCAGCGGUUCUGACGUGCAAAUCGAUCGUCAAAUAUGGGCAUGGGGGCGAAAGACUAAUCGAACCUUCUAGUAGCUGGUUUCCGCCGAA
This 906-nucleotide ribosomal RNA is filed under the name Pseudallescheria fusoidea. RNAcentral's name for it is "LSU rRNA". It matches the Rfam family "Eukaryotic large subunit ribosomal RNA", at positions 34 to 965 of the family's 3401-position model. The record is from RNAcentral. Lineage: Eukaryota; Fungi; Ascomycota; Sordariomycetes; Microascales; Microascaceae.